GAGGGAGAAACCUGCUGCCGCUCGCCGGCUCUUUGUCUGCUCGGGGACUUGGAACAAAAGGGGAAACUCUGAUGAACUCUCUCCAUCCUCCUCCUCUCUGACGCCUGGUUAUCUUUCCUCUCACAACUUUGCUGGAGAGACUCUCUCCAGCGCUAGGCACCCAACAAGUUCGGGGGCUUUAGGAACUGGAGUUAGAGAACCAUCUCUUUUAGAAUGGAUAAAAGAGGGGGGAAAAGAAGGUGCCAGAAUGAUGAUGGGCAACAUCUAGGAAGCAAGACAAUGGCUAGAAUACCUUUCUAGCAAGGUACCUUCUCCAGGCUGCAUUGUUUUUGUUGGACAUUUCUGACAAUGGAUAUAGCCAGGCCAAACAAUUACGGAGUGAAAGACGCUAACCUUCGCUUGGGAUUAUCGUUUAAGAAUUGAGUUUUGGAUAUGACAUGACUAUUAUGAAGGAUACUGUUACUGUUGGAAAUACAACUUCUUGAUCACUGGGAAUUCUCUGCCUUAUGGAAGAAGAACUGCAUGGCCUAUUGAUGUUGUGGAUUGCAGAAACGGAUCAAGGGCAGCCUGUGGCCUGCAGAAUGGAUCUUUCAUCAAACCUAAAUCUACACUGGUGUCAAGAGACAAUUAUUCCAGAAAAAAAAAGAAUCUCCCCAAAGAAAGAUAUCAAAAGCAUGCAGACUGUAAGACACACAGAAUUAAGCAUAAAAUAUAAACUGAAAGUUUGAAGAUCC
RNAcentral lists this long non-coding RNA (734 nucleotides) under Vombatus ursinus (common wombat). RNAcentral's name for it is "lncRNA (ENSVURG00010001442.1)". The record is from RNAcentral. Lineage: Eukaryota; Metazoa; Chordata; Mammalia; Diprotodontia; Vombatidae.